UGGGGAAUAUUGGGCAAUGGCCGAAAGGCUGACCCAGCGACGCCGCGUGUGGGAGGAAGCCCUUCGGGGUGUAAACCACUGUCAGGAGGGACGAAAGAGCGGGGAGUGAAUAAUUCUUCGCAGUGACGGUACCUUCGAAGGAAGCACCGGCUAACUCUGUGCCAGCAGCCGCGGUAAUACAGAGGGUGCAAGCGUUGUUCGGAAUUACUGGGCGUAAAGCGCGCGCAGGCGGGUCCUGUAAGUCGGAAGUGAAAUUUCACGGCUCAACCGUGAUGCUGCUUCUGAUACUGCGGAUCUGGAGAUCGGUAGAGGUCGGUAGAACUACAGGUGUAGCGGUGGAAUGCGUAGAUAUCUGUAAGAAUACCCGUGGCGAAGGCGGCCGACUGGGCCGAAUCUGACGCUGAGGCGCGAAAGCGUGGGGAGCAAACAGGAUCAGAUACCCUGGUAGUCCACGCCGUAAACGAUGGCACUAGGUGCCGGGGGGAGCGA
Molecule: ribosomal RNA, 489 nt
Filed under: uncultured bacterium
Lineage: Bacteria
Description: bacterial SSU rRNA
Rfam family: Bacterial small subunit ribosomal RNA
Source: RNAcentral